GUUUUCUAUUUUUUGCUAUUGUAUAAUAUUGUACAACACUGUGCAUAUCUCUUUAUCUGUGUGUCUCUAAUUGUUCCCUUAAACAGAUUUCUAGAUAUGGAUUUACUGGUCAAAGAAAAUGCAAAUUUUUAAAACUUAGAAUAAUAUAAUUGUCCUCUCCACAAUUUGCAACAGUUUAUGGUCCCACCAGCAAUAUAAAUGAGUAUUAGUGAGCCCUCAAACCAUCACUGAGUACAAUAGACUCUUGGAACUUCCCAGAAGGUUCCUAACAUGUAGUAACUGGUAACUGGUUGAGACAGGAGUGGGAAACUGUCACGACUGAUGUGAGGCGAUCACUUAGCACUCUAUGAGUCUAGCUGAAGUCUCAGAGUCUCCAUUUGGUGAAGGAGCUCUGAGCAGAGCCUUGCUGACUUUACCCUGCGGUGUGGCUGCAUCUCAGUACUGCCUCCAUCCAUCAGCGCAUUACUGGGCAGCAGCAGUCAUCGACACCCAUCAUCAUCCCUGAAUUUUUGUACAUUCAGAUAUUCUUUCAGGUCCUGUAUAACAGUGGAACUACUGAUAUCAGUUGCUCUGAAGGACCCCACUGACUCAGCUGAGCAGAGGAACACCACGAGCAGCUGACUCACCAAAGAAGGGGCCCAGGAGAGACUAAAAGCUAUGAAGGAAUUUGAUGUGGGGAACCCCAACAGAGCCAAGAAGGUACCCAGAGACUUUAGAAACUAUAGGGACUUACUUCUCAGGACCCCUUUGAAACCUAGACCUAAGAGGAUGAUUUGAUGCUGAGACAGCAUGACAUGCAGAGUGACUCAAUCCAACAGAAUGCUAAGUCUCAGUGAGCUGUCACCCCAUUCUGCACCAGAUGAAUAACUCUGCAACACUCAGAUGAUUGUGACCUCCUCCUGCCGUGCCUGCCCACAUGUCACCAGUAGAAGCAAGAAUGAACAUUUGUGAAAAAAUUAGUCUGCAUUGUCAAUUGUCAUCCUGGAGAGAAAAUGACUUGAUCUUCAGUGAUAACAGGAAUAUUACCAUCUUUCAGCCCCAUCUCAUUUUUCUUCACUUACUCAGAGUCUUACUCAGCGACCUAAUACUGAGUCUACUGAUGUCUUCACCUGCAAGAGCAACCUCCUUCCCAAAUCAGUUCCCACUCCUAACAGGAGCAGAGGCAAUAUCAGUAGCCCUUUUUUAUUUUUUUUCCUGAGACAGAGUCUUGCUCUGUCGCCCAGGCUGGAGUGCAGUGGCACAAUCUCGGUUUACUGCAACCUCUGCCUCCUGGGUUUGAGCGAUUCCCCUGCCUCAGCCUCCUGAGUAACUGGGAUUACAGGCACCUGCCACCAUGCCCGGCUGAUUUUUUGUAGUUUUAGUAGAGAUGGGGUUUCACCGUGUUGGUCAGGCUGGUCAAUUCCUGACCUCGUGAUCCACCCACCUCCCAAAGUGCUGGGAUUACAGGCAUGAGCCACUGUGCCCAGCCGCCUUUUUUGUUCUCUUCCUUGAUCUUAGGAGUUUAGGAAAUGAUCACACUCCCAGAUCCAAGAUCUGGUGUUCUACCCUCAAAGCCAAUGGACUCACAAGAUCCCACCAAGCAGAUCUAAAUGAUCUAGGACUAAUAAUGCAGGCUCUGAAGUUAGAGAGACUUAGAGUCAAAUCUGAACUCUGCCACUUAACCUUGCACAAGGCCAGUGUCUCAAUUAGGUUAGGAUAGUCAACAAUGCUAAAUAAGAAAAUUCAUUUCUCGGCUGGGCACGGUGGUUCACACCUGUAAUCCCAGCACUUUGCGAGGCCGAGGCAGGCGGAUCACGAGGUCAGGAGUUCAAGACCAGCCUGGUCAACAUGGUAAAACCCUGUCUCUGCUAAAAUACAAAAAUUAGCUGGGCGUGAUGGCACACGCCUGUAAUCCCAGCUACUCGGGAGGCUGAGGCAGGAGAAUUGCUUGAACUCAGGAGGCAGAGGCUGCAGUGAGACCAGAUGGCACCACUGCACUCCAGCCUAGGCGACAGAGCAAGACUCCAUCUCAAAAAAAGAAAAUUAAUUUCUCAUCACAAUAUACGUCCAACAUAGGUUAGUGGAAGGCAGUGCUCCAUAUUAUUACUCAAGAACCCAGGCUGAGAAAGGUUCCAUCUUAUAAUGUCACCAUCACAACACAUGGUGUUCAGGGAUACUAAGACAGGGGAAAGAUGAGGGAUGGGCCAAGUUUGAGGUUUUAACCAUCUCAUCCCAGAAAUGAUACAAUGGCAUUCCAGUUUUGGUCCAUUGGCUAGAACUAGUCAUGUAGCCCUGCCAACCUGCAAGGGCCUAAGAAUCAUCACCUUCCUUAUUACCAGAAAGUGGAGGAGAACUGGAUAUGAGUAAAUAAUUUUACUGCAGCCCAGCACACAGAGUGUGAUACUACUGUGUAGUUACUUUCUUCCUUCAAGUUUCCUGUAGGUCCAAUAGACCAAGGAUUCAUUAAGCUAAGGAAGGGCCCUGUUGUUUGUAUAACCACCCAUCAGAAGACUCUAUCCCCCAUGUCACCCUCAACCUCAAUGCCACUCCACAAUGAACAGGCUCAGUUCACCAGCAUGGGCUUAUGACCUAGGCUUUUCUUCCUAGCCAGUCUUGCCCUAUUGUCCUGCUUGAUUUUUUGGCCUGCCCCUCUAAGCUUGAGCCUUAUCCUAAUAAGAAACUUUGUAGGACUGGAAGCUUCAUAUCUUGUUCAGCUCUUGCCAGUUCUCCUUAUGAGCAGUCAAUCAAUGUUUUAGCAGUGGAGCCAUCUUGGAUCCUCAAACUUCUUGGAGGCCAAAGGGCUAAACAAUUCCCAGUCACAGCGAAUUUGCUGCCAAAGAUACACUCACUCAGCCUUUCCAAGGAAGUGACUGGAUAUGUAAAAAAGGGUUAUGUACAAAGAUGUUUAUUGAAACAUUAUUUGUAAUAGCAAAAUAUUGGGAAUAACCUAAAUGUCCACCAAAGGAGAAUGCUUAUAAAUAUGAAUCAUCCACAUGAUGGAUGUAUAAGUUAUGCCUGCCAAGUUCAUCAGGGUAAACAGAAGAGACAAAAUCAGAUUAUUUAUUAGGAUGGAGUUGAUUUCCUAACACAGUGGGACCUGCUUUCAUUUUGUUUGCCCUGCAGCUCUACUAUCCCAGAUUUUAUUGAUUCAUUUCAGGGCCAUUCUAUAGGCAGCAUCUCCACUGGGCAGCCAGGGCCCAGCUCAUGUGUAGUUGGGUAGCCUUUGCUACUGCAUUGGUCCCCAAUCCAAUCAUCUGUGAUUAGGGGAGCGGCUAGCUCUCCUCGAAAGUAGAGAAGGUUGUCCUGGCCUCUAAUGAAUUAUCCUUUAGUCAGUCUAAUUCAGUGAAAUAUUAUGUACCCUUUAAAAAUUGUAUUUACCAGAAGUUUUUAAUGACCUGGAAAAGUAUGCAGGAAAUAUCGUUAGGUUUUUAAAAUUUAUAAAAUUGAAUCUAUACUCUGACAUAUGUUAUAACAUAAAUUAACCUUAAAAGACAGACGCGGUGGCUAACGCCUGUAAUCCCAGCACUUUAGGAGGCCAAGGCGGGUGGAUCACCUGAGGUCAGGAGUUCAAGACCAGAGUGGCCAACAUGGCAAAACCCCAUCUCUACUAACAAUACAAAAUUAGUGGGGCAUGGUGGUGGGAACCUAUAAUCCCAGCUAUUCCGUAAGCUGAGGCAUGAGAAUUGCUUGAACCCGGGGGGCAGAGGUUGCAGUGAGCUAAGAUCGUGCCACUUCACACUAGCCUGGGCAAAAGAGCGAAACUCUAUCUCAAAAUAAAUAAAUAAAUAAAAAUAAAUGAACCAAGUGAAAUAAGCCAAUCAAAAAAAGGGCAAUAUUGUAUGAUUCCACUUUCUUUUUUUUUUUUUUUUUUUUUUUUUGAGAUGGAGUCUCACUCUGUAGCCCAAGCUGGAGUGCAGUGGCGUGAUCUCGGCCUUCACUACAACCUUUAUCUCUUGGGGCUCAAGCAAUUCUCCUGCCUCGGCCUCCCAAGAAGUUGGGACUAGAGGCUUGCACAACCACACCCAGUUAAUUUUAUGUAUUUUUAGUAGAGACGGGGUUUCACCAUGUUGCUCUGGGUGGUCUGGAACUCCUGAGCUCAGGCAAUCCACCCUCCUCAGCCUCCCAGAGUGGUGGGAUUAUAGGCGUGAGCCACCAUGCCCAGCCAUGAUUCCACUUACAUGAGGUCCCAGGAGUAGUAAAAUCAUAAUGACAGAAAAUAGAAGGGUGGUUGCCAGAGGCUGGAGGGAGAGGGAAAUAGGGUUUAAUGUUUAAUGGGUAUAGAGUUUCAGUUUUGCAAGAUGAAUAAAGUUCUGGAGACGAAUGGAUGGUGGUGAUGGUUGCACAACAAUGUGAAUGUACUUAAUACCACUGAACUGUACAUUUAAAAUGGCUAAAAUGGUAAAUUUUAUGUUAUGUGUAUUUUACCACAAUUUAAAGAAUUGAAUCUAUAGUUUCAUCACAAAUGUGUGAGGUUUUCUUUUUAAACAAAUGUUUGAGUAUAUGUGUGUGCAUGUGUGUGUGUAUAAUUAUGCCUAGUGUUCUGCCUUUGGUAAUGAGAGGAAGAUGCUACAGUUUCUUCCCUCAUGCUCUUCCUUUAGCUAGUGCAAGGGUUGGCAAACUGUGGCCCUUCAGCCAUGUCCAGCUUCUCAUUUGUUUUCAUAAAUAAAGUUUUAUUGAAACACAGUCAUGCCCGUUCAUUUAUGGAUUGUCUGCUUUUAUCCAACAAUGGCAGAG
RNAcentral lists this long non-coding RNA (4713 nucleotides) under Homo sapiens (human). RNAcentral describes it as "HSALNT0153447". The record is from RNAcentral. Lineage: Eukaryota; Metazoa; Chordata; Mammalia; Primates; Hominidae.